UGGCCUGUGUGUCCUAAUGCCAUCAG
RNAcentral lists this non-coding RNA (26 nucleotides) under Homo sapiens (human). Lineage: Eukaryota; Metazoa; Chordata; Mammalia; Primates; Hominidae. The record is from RNAcentral.